Molecule: long non-coding RNA, 2563 nt
Organism: Ostrea edulis (European flat oyster)
Lineage: Eukaryota; Metazoa; Mollusca; Bivalvia; Ostreida; Ostreidae
Exons: 2
Source: RefSeq, a predicted model, not a curated record
GGGUUGAGAAUAUUAAAGAAAUUAGAGUUUAUAUGAAAGAUUGCACAAAACUCGGACAUUCGGUAAUGUAGAUAUUUACUGAAUUUGGGACAGUUUAUGGGUCUGAUAAGGUAUCUUAUGAGAGAGUUCGUAGGCGGAGAAAGAAAUUUCUGACUGGCACAAAGUUCGUCAAAGGUGCAGAAAAAUCUGGCCGACCUGUGACUUUAACAGGCAAGGCAAAUGUCUCAAAAGUCAAGGAAAUGAUAGAAAGUGAUGGUAGAGACACGGUUCAUGAUAUUUCCAAAAGUGUUGGCAUAUCGCUAUCGCGGUCACAAUUCAUUUUGAAGUGUAUUUUGAAAGUAUGAAAGCUUUAUCGGCAGAUAACCAAAAACGGGUACGAGUAGAAAACGCUGAGCAAUUGCUAAAAAUGUUUCCCAAAUUCAAUCAAAGACAAUUUGCAAACAGUGUUACUGGUUACGAAAAUGGGUUUACUAUUUCAACCCAGUAAGAAAAAUUGUAAACAAAAUAUGGCUAACUAAACACGGUAGAAGGCCUGUAGUUGCCUAAAGAACCAUGAGCAUAAAGAAGGUUCUUUAUUGCAUAUUAUUUUCAUGUGAUUGUAUAGCCGUACAAAUUCCGGUGUCGAAGGGCAAAGGUGUUACAGAUCGGUAUUACCAAGAUGUUAUCUUAAAAUGCUCAAGAAAUAUUAUGAUAAACGACGCCCUGUGUCAGGAUUUAGGCAUGUUCGUCUACUUCAUGAUAAUGUUCCGUCACAUACAUGUGAGGUUGUGAAGCAAUUUUUGGAGUCGGGGAAGGUUAAUAUCUUGCCACUCCCACCAUACUCUCCAGAUCAAACCCCAUGCGAUUUUCCCCUCUUUUUCUAAAACUUAAAAAGUUCCUCUCUGGUCGUCGUUACAAGUCCCGAAUAGCCCUUGGUUCAGCCAUCAGUCAGUGCCCCAGAGCUCUACCUAAAUCAGCGUACCGUGACGCAUUUCAGAAAUGAAUUCAGAGAUAGAAAUUAUGUAUUUCAAACUGUGGAGAAUACUUUGAAGUUAUGUAAUGUUCAUUUUACUAUUUGAGUCGAAUGUUUUUAAGAUAUCGUACAAUAUACAUGGCACAUCAAACAGCCCUCGUAUAUGUCAAGUACUCGCAACUUUGGCUAUUUCAUGAUGAAAUAUAUUUUCACUUGAAGAAUUGCCUGAUCCGCACAACAAAGCAUGAGAAGCAUAAUGCGUUGCAUAAUGUACCAUGUAUCAUCACGUCUUAUCGACUGACAUUGGAUCAGAAGGAUUAGAUUUGUUACAUUUUACAGUGUCGGAUUUGCUGCAUCCCAUCAUGCAAAGAUGUUCUCCGACCAAAAAUGAAAAUCGAUCCUAAGUUCGAUAUUGAAAGUGGCAUGACCUUAAGGAACUACAUGUACCUAUCCAUCCUGAAAACUGAAUACCAUUUUUACCAAUUACUAGAUGUAAAAAUGUUCCUGUUAAUCGUCUGAAUCAUGUCCGAAAAAAAUUCAGUUAUGGAUACAUUCACCAGUGUCAGCUUAUGGCAUGGCAGAUGAUACCGACGAAGACAACAAAAAGGAGGAAGGCGGCGUAUAUAUACAGUAAUCCCUUUACGAAAGGAAGAAAUUUAUCUAGAAGUGGGGAUGUUAAAAAUAUGGAAAUAUCAGAAGCAAGGGGUAUUAUUUUGUGAAAUCUAAGCUCCUAACUUUCGAUUUUCAGAGAAAAUAUUGAAGUAUUCUAACUAUAUUUAACUAUUCUGGUACCAUAAAACAAGGGACUUGGACAUGAAGCGGUGUGGGACAUGGCAGAUGAGAGCAAAUUGUUGCUUUCCUAUUUGCCAUUGACGAUUUUGUUUAAGAAUUCGGCAGUUGCACGUGUACUGAAAAGAUUCGUGAAUACAAUAAACCCAGAGGUCGAAAUCAAAAUCCGAGUGCUCUCUUUGCACCAAAAUACUCAUCCAUGAAAAGGGGAGCUGAAGAAAGUAUGUUUAUCUCAGCAGGGUGUAUUAAAAAUGAUCCAAAGCCACUGACCUUCAGAUCAGACACAGUUUCAUUGAAAAAUGAUAUUAUUUUCUUUCCGACCUCAGUUCGAUAGAGAAGGAAUGUGGAUGGACAAAUAUCUGGGAUUUUGAGUAAGGAAAUGUUUGUGUGGAAGACCAAGGCAGGAAUUUUGACGUCACAAUGAGAACAAUUUCUACAAAAUGUCCACAUUUUAAAAACCUAGGUUGAUCAAUAUCUUCCAAGCUUUUAAAGGUAGAGCUUUGAUAUUGGGUUCCUAGAUUCUCUAUGUUACGACCUUGUUAUGUCUUGGUGUUUGACCUUCUGAUCUUGAGCUGGACGUUCAACCUACUUUUCAUAAAAAUCUAACCUGAAUUAUUUGAAAUAAAUCAUCCCCUCCUUAAUUUUUGGCGAACAUUUACAUCAUAACAUCCUGUUAAUAACACAUAUUCUGUUCUACUAAGAUUGCUAAUAAAUUGUGUAUUGAUUGUAUAAAUAUAUUGAUGUUACAUCAAUAUGCAUUGAUGUAAUUAGAUUGAUGUUAAAUAAUAUACCAACUAUGAUUAGAUAAAUAAUGUAUUGACC